Molecule: ribosomal RNA, 1378 nt
Filed under: uncultured Christiangramia sp.
Lineage: Bacteria; Pseudomonadati; Bacteroidota; Flavobacteriia; Flavobacteriales; Flavobacteriaceae
Description: uncultured Gramella sp. 16S ribosomal RNA
Rfam family: Bacterial small subunit ribosomal RNA
Source: RNAcentral
GUCGAACGGUAACAGGGAAAAGCUUGCUUUUCCGCUGACGAGUGGCGCACGGGUGCGUAACGCGUAUACAAUCUACCUUCAAGCGGGGGAUAGCCCAUGGAAACGUGGAUUAAUACCCCAUGGUAUUAUGAUCUCACCUGGAAUUAUAAUUAAACAUUUAUGGCUUGAAGAUGAGUAUGCGUCCUAUUAGCUAGAUGGAGUGGUAACGGCACCCCAUGGCAACGAUAGGUAGGGGUCCUGAGAGGGAGAUCCCCCACACUGGUACUGAGACACGGACCAGACUCCUACGGGAGGCAGCAGUGAGGAAUAUUGGACAAUGGAGGCAACUCUGAUCCAGCCAUGCCGCGUGCAGGAAGACUGCCCUAUGGGUUGUAAACUGCUUUUAUACAGGAAGAAACCUCUCCACGUGUGGGGAGCUGACGGUACUGUAAGAAUAAGGAUCGGCUAACUCCGUGCCAGCAGCCGCGGUAAUACGGAGGAUCCAAGCGUUAUCCGGAAUCAUUGGGUUUAAAGGGUCCGUAGGCGGAUUUAUAAGUCAGUGGCGAAAGUCUGCAGCUUAACUGUAGAAUUGCCAUUGAUACUGUAGAUCUUGAGUUGUUAUUGAAGUGGUUGGAAUGAGUAGUGUAGCGGUGAAAUGCAUAGAUAUUACUCAGAACACCUAUUGCGAAGGCAGAUCACUAAUAACAUACUGACGCUGAUGGACGAAAGCGUAGGUAGCGAACAGGAUUAGAUACCCUGGUAGUCUACGCCGUAAACGAUGGUCACUAGCUGUUCGGUCUAAUUGAGGGCUGAGUGGUUAAGCGAAAGUGAUAAGUGACCCACCUGGGGAGUACGUUCGCAAGAAUGAAACUCAAAGGAAUUGACGGGGGCCCGCACAAGCGGUGGAGCAUGUGGUUUAAUUCGAUGAUACGCGAGGAACCUUACCAGGGCUUAAAUGCAGUUGGACAGGAGUGGAAACACUCCCUUCUUCGGACUAAUUGCAAGGUGCUGCAUGGUUGUCGUCAGCUCGUGCCGUGAGGUGUCAGGUUAAGUCCUAUAACGAGCGCAACCCCUGUGGUUAGUUGCCAGCACGUAAUGGUGGGAACUCUAGCCAGACUGCCGGUGCAAACCGCGAGGAAGGUGGGGAUGACGUCAAAUCAUCACGGCCCUUACGUCCUGGGCUACACACGUGCUACAAUGGUAGGGACAGAGGGCAGCUACCCCGCGAGGGGAUGCGAAUCUUCAAACCCUAUCACAGUUCGGAUCGCAGUCUGCAACUCGACUGCGUGAAGCUGGAAUCGCUAGUAAUCGCACAUCAGCCAUGGUGCGGUGAAUACGUUCCCGGGCCUUGUACACACCGCCCGUCAAGCCAUGGAAGCCGGGGGUACCUGAAGUCGGU